RNAcentral lists this signal recognition particle RNA (90 nucleotides) under human gut metagenome. RNAcentral's name for it is "Bacterial small signal recognition particle RNA". It matches the Rfam family "Bacterial small signal recognition particle RNA". From Rfam's summary of the family: The signal recognition particle (SRP) is a universally conserved ribonucleoprotein involved in the co-translational targeting of proteins to membranes. The record is from RNAcentral.
UGGGUCCCGUGCGAUGUUGCGAUGUGAACCCUGUCAGGUCCGGAAGGAAGCAGCAGUAAGCAUUUUAGACGUGUGCUGCGGCCAAGCCUG